GAUGAACGCUGGCGGCGUGCCUAAUACAUGCAAGUCGAGCGAACGGACGAGAAGCUUGCUUCUCUGAUGUUAGCGGCGGACGGGUGAGUGACACGUGGAUAACCUACCUAUAAGACUGGGAUAACUUCGGGAAACCGUAGCUAAUACCGGAUAAUAUUUUGAACCGCAUGGUUCAAAAGUGAAAGACGGUCUUGCUGUCACUUAUAGAUGGAUCCGCGCUGCAUUAGCUAGUUGGUAAGGUAACGGCUUACCAAGGCAACGAUGCAUAGCCGACCUGAGAGGGUGAUCGGCCACACUGGAACUGAGACACGGUCCAGACUCCUACGGGAGGCAGCAGUAGGGAAUCUUCCGCAAUGGGCGAAAGCCUGACGGAGCGACGCCGCGUGAGUGAUGAAGGUCUUCGGAUCGUAAAACUCUGUUAUUAGGGAAGAACAUAUGUGUAAGUAACUGUGCACAUCUUGACGGUACCUAAUCAGAAAGCCACGGCUAACUACGUG
This 497-nucleotide ribosomal RNA is filed under the name uncultured bacterium. Its description in RNAcentral is "partial 16S ribosomal RNA". It matches the Rfam family "Bacterial small subunit ribosomal RNA", at positions 28 to 507 of the family's 1533-position model. The record is from RNAcentral.